GAUGAUUUAAAAAAAUGAGGUAGCCUAAUGGUAGCAUUGCAGUCUGUCAGCACUACGACCUGAUUAAAAAAUGGACUGUUUUAAUUUCUUGUAAGAGGAUCAAACUUUUUUCUGAACUUUUAAGACUGACGAUAGUAAAGAUAUUAAGAAAAAAAAGUGUGUGGAAUGGAGGUGCAGCGAUCCCACCCCCACCAUAACCAUCUGGUGCUAGAAGUUGGGAGUGAAAAAUUAGCUGAAACUUAUAAAGUUAGGAUGUGCUGUCCUCACAGAAGUAAAGAAUCAAUGCAAGACAGCAAAUGUCUAGGUUGCCUGGAGAAAGU
Molecule: long non-coding RNA, 320 nt
Filed under: Struthio camelus australis
Lineage: Eukaryota; Metazoa; Chordata; Aves; Struthioniformes; Struthionidae
Description: lncRNA (ENSSCUG00000008754.1)
Source: RNAcentral